RNAcentral lists this ribosomal RNA (497 nucleotides) under uncultured bacterium. RNAcentral's name for it is "partial 16S ribosomal RNA". It matches the Rfam family "Bacterial small subunit ribosomal RNA", at positions 28 to 507 of the family's 1533-position model. The record is from RNAcentral.
GAUGAACGCUGGCGGCGUGCCUAAUACAUGCAAGUCGAGCGAACAGACGAGGAGCUUGCUCCUCUGACGUUAGCGGCGGACGGGUGAGUAACACGUGGAUAACCUACCUAUAAGACUGGGAUAACUUCGGGAAACCGGAGCUAAUACCGGAUAAUAUAUUGAACCGCAUGGUUCAAUAGUGAAAGACGGUUUUGCUGUCACUUAUAGAUGGAUCCGCGCCGCAUUAGCUAGUUGGUAAGGUAACGGCUUACCAAGGCAACGAUGCGUAGCCGACCUGAGAGGGUGAGCGGCCACACUGGAGCUGGGACACGGUCCAGACUCCUACGGGAGGCAGCAGUAGGGAAUCUGCCACAAUGGGCGAAAGCCUGACGGAGCAACGCCGCGUGAGUGAUGAAGGUCUUCGGAUCGUAAAACUCUGUUAUUAGGGAAGAACAAAUGUGUAAGUAACUAUGCACGUCUUGACGGUACCUAAUCAGAAAGCCACGGCUAACUACGUG